GGGGAUUUAGCUCAGUGGUAGAGCGCUUGCCUAGCAAGCGAAAGGCCCUGGGUUCGGUCCCUAGCUCA
Molecule: transfer RNA, 68 nt
Filed under: Rattus norvegicus (Norway rat)
Lineage: Eukaryota; Metazoa; Chordata; Mammalia; Rodentia; Muridae
Rfam family: tRNA
About the family: Transfer RNA (tRNA) molecules are approximately 80 nucleotides in length.
Source: Rfam by way of RNAcentral